RNAcentral lists this ribosomal RNA (268 nucleotides) under uncultured bacterium. RNAcentral describes it as "partial 16S ribosomal RNA". It matches the Rfam family "Bacterial small subunit ribosomal RNA", at positions 1224 to 1500 of the family's 1533-position model. The record is from RNAcentral.
GUUACAAUGGCAGGUACANAGGGGUGCUACCGGGUGACCGGAUGCCGAUCUCGAAAACCUGUCCCAGUUCGGACUGGAGUCUGCAACCCGACUCCACGAAGUUGGAUUCGCUAGUAAUCGCGCAUCAGCCAUGGCGCGGUGAAUACGUUCCCGGGCCUUGUACACACCGCCCGUCAAGCCAUGGGAGCCGGGGGCGCCUGAAGUCCGGGACCGCGAGGACCGGCCUAAGGCGAAACUGGUGACUGGGGCUAAGUCGUAACAAGGUAAC